GAGUUUGAUCAUGGCUCAGGACGAACGCUGGCGGCGUGCCUAACACAUGCAAGUCGUGCGAGAAAGCUCCUUCGGGAGUGAGUAAAGCGGCGGACGGGUGAGUAACACGUGAGCGAUCUACCCGGUGGUGGGGGACAACCCAGGGAAACCUGGGCUAAUACCGCAUAUGGCGUGGGCUUGGAAGCCCGGCGUCAAAGCUGGCCUCUUCUUGAAAGCUAGCGCCAUCGGAUGAGCUCGCGGCCUAUCAGCUAGUUGGUGAGGUAACGGCUCACCAAGGCGAUGACGGGUAGCUGGCGUGAGAGCGCGACCAGCCACACUGGGACUGAGACACGGCCCAGACUCCUACGGGAGGCAGCAGUGGGGAGCAUUGCGCAAUGGGCGAAAGCCUGACGCAGCGACGCCGCGUGGGGGAGGAAGGCCUCAGGGUUGUAAACCCCUGUCAGGUGGGACGAACCCCGAGUCGGAUAAUACCCGGCUCGACUGACGGUACCACCAGAGGAAGCUCCGGCUAACUCCGUGCCAGCAGCCGCGGUAAUACGGAGGGAGCAAGCGCUGUUCGGAAUCACUGGGCGUAAAGGGCGCGUAGGCGGUCGCGUAAGUCGGAUGUGAAAUCCCGGGGCUCAACCCCGUGGACUGCACCCGAUACUGCGUGACUAGA
This 658-nucleotide ribosomal RNA is filed under the name uncultured bacterium. RNAcentral's name for it is "bacterial SSU rRNA". It matches the Rfam family "Bacterial small subunit ribosomal RNA", at positions 9 to 645 of the family's 1533-position model. The record is from RNAcentral.